GACGAACGCUGGCGGCGUGCUUAACACAUGCCAGUCGAACGGAAAGGCCCUGCUUUUGUGGGGUGCUCGAGUGGCGAACGGGUGAGUAACACGUGAGUAACCUGCCCUUGACUUUGGGAUAACUUCAGGAAACUGGGGCUAAUACCGGAUAGGAGCUCCUGCUGCAUGGUGGGGGUUGGAAAGUUUCGGCGGUUGGGGAUGGACUCGCGGCUUAUCAGCUUGUUGGUGGGGUAGUGGCUUACCAAGGCUUUGACGGGUAGCCGGCCUGAGAGGGUGACCGGCCACAUGGGGACUGAGAUACGGCCCAGACUCCUACGGGGGGCAGCAGUGGGGAAUAUUGCACAAUGGGCGGAAGCCUGAUGCAGCAACGCCGCGUGCGGGAUGACGGCCUUCGGGUUGUAAACCGCUUUCGCCUGUGACGAAGCGUGAGUGACGGUAAUGGGUAAAGAAGCACCGGCUAACUACGUG
This 468-nucleotide ribosomal RNA is filed under the name uncultured bacterium. RNAcentral describes it as "partial 16S ribosomal RNA". It matches the Rfam family "Bacterial small subunit ribosomal RNA", at positions 28 to 507 of the family's 1533-position model. The record is from RNAcentral.